ACAAUAUUAAUGACAAACAUAUUUUACAAAUUCCUAUAUUCUGGGAAGGUUAAUGAUGUGCAGCUACACACUCUUGUAGCUUCACGCAGUCAUAGACAACUAUUCUAUUUUGUCAGGAAGUUGUCACACAGCAUGCUGUAGCAUUGUGCAUACAUCUGACUUUUUCUAACCAUUCUAAAUUAGAGAUCUUUGUUUUUAAUUGA
Molecule: unclassified non-coding RNA, 203 nt
Filed under: Hevea brasiliensis (rubber tree)
Lineage: Eukaryota; Viridiplantae; Streptophyta; Magnoliopsida; Malpighiales; Euphorbiaceae
Source: RNAcentral